AUUGAACGCUGGCGGCAGGCCUAACACAUGCAAGUCGAACGAGUGGCGGACGGGCGAGCAAUGUAUUAGCACAUGGCUGAUGGAGGGGGAUGACUACUGUAAACGGUAGCUAAUACCGCAUCCCAUCGGAUGUGCUCAGAUGGGAUUAGCUAGUGGGGGGGGUAAAGGCUCACGUAGGCGACGAUCCCUACCUGGUCUGAGAGGAUGACCGGCCACACUGGAACUGAGACACGGUCCAGACUCCUACGGGAGGCAGCAGUGGGGAAUAUUGGACAAUGGGCGAAAGCCUGAUGCAGCCAUGCCGCGUGUAUGAAGAAGGCCUUCGGGUUGUAAAGUACUUUCAUCGGAGAGGCGUUACCCGCACAAGAAGCAACGGCUAACUCCGUGCCAGCCGCCGCGGUAAUAC
This 406-nucleotide ribosomal RNA is filed under the name uncultured bacterium. RNAcentral's name for it is "partial 16S ribosomal RNA". It matches the Rfam family "Bacterial small subunit ribosomal RNA", at positions 30 to 526 of the family's 1533-position model. The record is from RNAcentral.